GACGAAGGGGGCUAGCGUUGUUCGGAAUUACUGAACAUAAAGGGCGCAUAGGCGGUCUUAUCAGUCAGGCAUGAAAGCCCUGGGCUCAACCUGGAAGGUGCGCUUGAUACUGCAAGGCUUGAGUGCAAGAGAGGAUAGUAGAAUUCCCAGUAUAAAGAUAAAAUUCGUAGAUAUUAGAAAGAACACCGGUGGCGAAAGCGGCCAUCUGGACUGCAACUGACGCUGAAACGCGAAAGCGUGGGAAGCAAACAGG
This 253-nucleotide ribosomal RNA is filed under the name uncultured bacterium. RNAcentral describes it as "partial 16S ribosomal RNA". It matches the Rfam family "Bacterial small subunit ribosomal RNA", at positions 524 to 776 of the family's 1533-position model. The record is from RNAcentral.